GCCCAGAUAGCUCAGUUGGUAGAGCAACGGACUGAAAAUCCGUGUGUCGCUGGUUCGACUCCGGCUCUGGGCA
RNAcentral lists this transfer RNA (73 nucleotides) under Lachnospiraceae bacterium. Its description in RNAcentral is "tRNA-Phe". It matches the Rfam family "tRNA". From Rfam's summary of the family: Transfer RNA (tRNA) molecules are approximately 80 nucleotides in length. The record is from RNAcentral. Lineage: Bacteria; Bacillati; Bacillota; Clostridia; Lachnospirales; Lachnospiraceae.